RNAcentral lists this ribosomal RNA (482 nucleotides) under uncultured organism. RNAcentral describes it as "SSU rRNA". It matches the Rfam family "Bacterial small subunit ribosomal RNA", at positions 29 to 509 of the family's 1533-position model. The record is from RNAcentral.
AUGAACGCUGGCGGCGUGCCUAACACAUGCAAGUCGAGCGAGAAAUCACAGAACAGAGAUUCGUCAACGGGAAGUGGUGGACAGCGGCGGACGGGUGAGUAACGCGUAGGUAACCUACCUUAUACUGAAGGAUAGCCUAGGGAAACCUGGAUUAAUACUUCAUAAUGCAUUUGUAUCACAUGGUGUGAAUGCCAAAGAUUUAUCGGUAUAAGAUGGACCUGCGUCUGAUUAGAUAGUUGGUGAGGUAACGGCCCACCAAGUCAACGAUCAGUAGCCGAUCUGAGAGGAUAAUCGGCCACAUUGGAACUGAGACACGGUCCAAACUCCUACGGGAGGCAGCAGUGGGGAAUAUUGCACAAUGGGCGAAAGCCUGAUGCAGCAACGCCGCGUGAGCGAUGAAGGUCUUCGGAUUGUAAAGCUCUGUCCUCUGGGACGAAGAAAGUGACGGUACCAGAGGAGGAAGCCCCGGCUAACUACGUGCC